Molecule: RNA transcript, 994 nt
Organism: Dendrobium catenatum
Lineage: Eukaryota; Viridiplantae; Streptophyta; Magnoliopsida; Asparagales; Orchidaceae
Gene name: PRELI domain containing protein 3A
Exons: 3
Source: RefSeq, a predicted model, not a curated record
ACGUUGCUGUUCACUCACUGCUCCCAGAGCUAAUCGACCGCAUCCACCCCCGAAAACCUAGAGAUGGUGCGAGCUUACAAGCAUGAACAUAUCUACCGCCACCCCUGGGACCGCGUCACCACCGCUUCCUGGCGCAAGUUCACCGAUCCCGAUACCCCCGCUGUCCUCUCCCACGUUCUCGACGUCCACACACUCUCUCGCCGCCUGGACGCCGCUUCCGGGUGCCUCCACACCGUCCGAUCCAUCACCGUUCGAUCUCCCUCCCUCCCUUUCUUUCUUCGCCGCAUCAUCGGUGGCGAGGCCGUCGUGUGCCACUGCAUCGAAACAUCAGUUGUUGACCCCCGCGCCAGAUCGAUGGAGAUCGUCGCCGUCAACGCUAGCCUUCGUGGCCUUAUCGAGGUUGAGGAGCGAUCAUCGUAUCAGCCUCACCCUGAAAAUCCUGAGGGUUGGACGCUAUUGCGGCAGGACACUAGCAUUCGUUGCAAGCCCUUUAAAGCGCUGGCUGCCGUUGCUGAGAAGGUUGAGCAGCGCUGCGUUGAGCGGUUUCAGCAGAAUAGCGUCAAGGGGAGGGAGUUUGUUGAGAGGAUUUGUAAGUACCUUGAGGCGGAAUCCUCGGCUGCAGCUGCAGGUGCUACGGCGUCAUGAUGAGCACUGUUGGACGGCUUGGUCUAAGGUUUGGCUACGUAGAGAAGUUUGCUGUGACUCAUACAAGAAAAUAUAAUGAAUUAAUAUGUUAUAAAAAUUGAAGAUGGAGUCUCCUGAGAGGAAAAUGACAUAAGAGAGGUUGAUACAUCUCGUCUAGGAAGGUAAGCUUGGCUGGAGAAGUUAGAAAGAAAUAUCAGGGAGCUGCUUGUUAGGAGGGAAGUUGCAUAGACAACACACAGAAAGCGAUAGGGUGAGAGAAGCUGGUACAUUUUGUAUUAUGAUAAUGCUAUUUUUUUUAAUACAAUCAAAUCAUUAGACAAUCAGCUGGUUUAUUAGACAUUCAUUAUAU